GAGGGUAUAACUCAGUGGUAGAGUGUGUGCCUAGCAUGUACAAGGUCCUGGGUUCAAUUCCUAGUACCUCCA
RNAcentral lists this transfer RNA (72 nucleotides) under Camelus bactrianus (Bactrian camel). It matches the Rfam family "tRNA". From Rfam's summary of the family: Transfer RNA (tRNA) molecules are approximately 80 nucleotides in length. Lineage: Eukaryota; Metazoa; Chordata; Mammalia; Artiodactyla; Camelidae. RNAcentral also lists the same sequence under 2 other names. The record is from Rfam by way of RNAcentral.